GUUCAAAGACAUGCUGUUCGGGUUCAGCCGUAGUGUGUGAGUUUUACUGAUGUCUGUUUUUACCUGUUUCUGUCUUGCAAUAAGUUCCAACAGACCAACGCACCCUGUGGCUGGUAAGCGUACCACGGUUUACCCCUUGGCCUUGCUCUCUCCCGAGCUGCCUACGGGUCCGGGGUUGGGGGAGCAGCCACUUUCACUGGGGCGGGAGGCCGGUGCUGUUCCCUCAGUCUGUUGACUGCAGCCAGAACUGUUGUCAACUCACUGAAGUACAGCCACCUGGGCAUCAUAUGCCAGCUUUAUAAAUGAGGGUAUCAGCUCGGAAAAGGUUAAUGAGGGUCAGGGUGAGGCAAAAAGAAAAAAAAGCAGGAGGAGUAGUAGCACGAAUAAGCACCAACCACAAAAGUGGGUGAUAAAUCACAAAAUGUGCUCCAGAGGAAAUGCUUUUGUGGAACAGCGCUUUCAGCUGCACAAAUAAUCAUACAUGUUCACUGUUAUCACCUAGCGACGCUUCUCAGAAUUUAUAAUUGUAGGUCUCCGUCCGACUUCUCCUCCUGCUCCCUGUGGGUGGAGGAAGGACGCGGCGCUAAAUACAGCCCUUCGGACCCUGUGCCAUCGAGAAGGUUCUCGAUCCCCCCUCGCGCACAACUGGGACGGAGCUCGUGGGCACCUGGCGCUGCGCUCAUCAUGGGCAGGAGAAAGUCCGGCAAACGGCCCUUUUUUAGAAAGAGAAAGGCGGUGUUGAAGACAACCGAUGGGAAAGUCGCUUCUAUGAGACGUAGGAGGUGCAUUGAAGUGCAGGAAGUCCAGGAGGCGAAUGAAAGGGCAAAAUCCGUCACUGUGUUUUUGCGCACAGGGGAGGGGAAGUCGGUCCACAUGGCGUUCUGUUUCCAGCGGAAAAAAAAAAAACAAUUUUCUUGUUUUUAAAAAUAAUAAGCUCCAGGUACUGGAGUGUGAACUCCCCACUUCCAAUGAGUUCUUUUUCAAGUGGGGAGAAGAGAGUGGAAAGGCAAAGAGCCUGGUGUCCGUGGUCACUCCACAGGUGUACCUCAGCACCGCGGGCUCUGUGGUCACUGUGGGAACAGCGUUCGCUUCUGCUCCCCCGCUACUCUUUGACCUCACGUGGUUGGAUUAAGGGAGGUUUCUUUCUGAAUAAAUGUGCUUCUGCUAGAACA
This 1172-nucleotide long non-coding RNA is filed under the name Scleropages formosus (Asian bonytongue). Its description in RNAcentral is "lncRNA (ENSSFOG00015029625.1)". The record is from RNAcentral. Lineage: Eukaryota; Metazoa; Chordata; Actinopteri; Osteoglossiformes; Osteoglossidae.